AAAAAGGUGAAACUGAUGCCCCAAGGUGAGAGUUAUUGGUGUUUAUAAUUGAUGUGUGGUGGUUUGGAGUGAUAUAAAUGGUGUUAAUGAUUGUAUAAAAAGAAAAAAAAUGAAUCUUGAAGGAAUAAGCAAUACGCCCACCAUGUGUUUAUGAAAAUGCUUGAAAGAGAUAGGGCAAAAAUAAAAGAUAUGGGUGGAUGAAAAAUUGUACUUUUAUU
This 218-nucleotide long non-coding RNA is filed under the name Capsicum annuum. RNAcentral's name for it is "long non-coding RNA (CANN_LNC021934)". Lineage: Eukaryota; Viridiplantae; Streptophyta; Magnoliopsida; Solanales; Solanaceae. The record is from RNAcentral.